Long non-coding RNA from Lycium barbarum (goji berry), 5700 nucleotides. RefSeq lists it as uncharacterized. The record is from RefSeq and is a predicted model, not a curated record. The transcript is spliced from 3 exons. Lineage: Eukaryota; Viridiplantae; Streptophyta; Magnoliopsida; Solanales; Solanaceae.
UCUUCGUACAUAUGGAAAGAGCAACAUAAAGUUGCUGAACCUCGUUUUCUUUCCCCUUUUGUAACUAAAGCACAUCAAUUUCAAAGUUAUUCUAUACGGAUUAUUGUUAAAGAAUUCAUAAGGUGCAUUUAAUUUCAAGCUUAAACACGGUUAUUUCUCUUAUGAUUUUCCGAUUUAAACAUUGAUUCUACCGGAUCCUUGCACGUCAAAGAUUACCUCGUAGUGAAGUAAUCUUGAAAUUAAAGUGUUCUUGAGCUCUUGAGACUUACAAGCUCGGACACAUAAGCGUAGCUAAUAGGACGUGGAACAGGUACACCCAGACGAGUUGAAGCUAUUAUAGAAGACGUUCCAGCGAAGUUGGCGAGCUCCAUUUGGCCCUGGAGUGUAGCCGAGUCAGCUUACUAUGCUAUGAUGUUCUGUUUGAAGUUAGAGACUUUGCAGACAAAGUCGUGGGUAUCGGGAGUCAGUUUGUAUUAUGAUAUAAGUAUUUCAAAGUUACAGACUUUAUUUGAUUUGAAAACAACAAAAGAAUAUUUCAGUAAACUCUAUUAUGUAUACUUGAUUUAGAGGUUCAAAAAAAAAAUUAAGUACGUAAUAAGAGUCAGCGGGUUCGCUCGGCUCCGGAUAUGGGGUCGGGUGCCCAUCACACCCCAGUAAAGUCGGGGUGUGACAAAGUGGUAUCAAAGUAGGUCGGUCUAAGGGUUGUUUGCAAAGUCGUGUCUAGUAGAGUCCUGUUUAUGGGUGUGAAGCCGGCCAGAUUUAUAAACAGGAGGCUGCGGGGCAUCUAGGGACUGUUGACCUUCUUUCUGUCUUUGAUCGUGCGAUAGAGCCAAGUCAUAGGAAAUAAGACUCCUUAUACUAAUCGUUGAAUUCCGCAAAUGCCUAGUAUCGACGGAAGAAAGCGAGUGAUGAUAUGGCAAGUCACAAAGGUAAGUCUGGAUAUUUGUUCUGUUAUCUGAAACUGGAAGCUCUAGAUAGCUAGAACGUGUUAUAUAGCCGUAUGUUCUGUGAGGUCUUGUCGAUAUCUACUGCAUACGGACUGUAAAUAAUAAGAAUGGUAAAGGAGAUUCUGUCAGAAUUGCUAGGUAUGUUUAAUAGGAAAAAAAAACGUGGAAAGGAAACAUCGUAAACAGACAAUAAGUGAGAUGUGCCGCUUAGAGGAGCCACGGAUUUGGACACGGCAUGAAGAAAAAUUGUGAGAAAGACGAUUAGUAGUCCGGACUGGCUGAUAAUCGGAUAUCCAUAAGUAACGACGACGAAAGUGUAAUUGUUACCAUCAGGAAUCUGGGAAUCCAGGGCGAAAGAUAGUUAUGCACGUAAGUGAAAGGUGAACAUUGGAAAUCAAAAAGGGUAAAAUAGUAAUUGCAAAAGAAAGGACGUGUUACGAAAAUGUCCCGGAGCCAGUAAGACUUCAGUUUGCUUCAGAACACGUAAUAAAGGUCAUGUGAGGAAGCGGACGCGAAAAUAUCAGUAUUAAGGCACCGAAUUCCAGUGAAGUUUCGAGGAUUAAGCGUGCUCAGAUGGGAGCAAUUUUGGGAUGGGUGACUGUUAUAUCCUGCAUUUUCGAAUGUCGAAUUAUUUGUAAGCUGAGGUGGGGCCCACACAUCAAUAUUUUUUUUGGGACAUGUGAAAAGUUAUAUGAAUCGUAUAUGUAAAGUUAAACACAACCCGUGAAGGGCCCUGGGGCCAAAUCAAAGUGGAAGCCCUCCAAACGAAUAUUUUUAAGAAAACGUUUUCGGAUGACCUGACUUGUAGGGUCAAAACCGGCAUUGUAAGUUUGGAAUUUGGGAAACGCCCAGAAAUAAAAGUUGUAGAUAAUUGAAAUAGCUUUCCAACGGUAGGUCGUGAGCUCCCAGGCGACGUCGGUACAAGGAGAUAUGGACAUUUUAAGACGGAAAGGUCAAGCUGGGCAGUGAAAUGGGCCCAACCCGAUUCCAAUCCGGGUCAGGCCCAUUUCCUUAUUAUUUAAGGGAGUUUUCAGCCCCCUCCUCCACAUUUCAGAUCAGAAAAGAUCCAGAAAAUUCCAUUAGAGAGAGAGAGAAAACUUCAAGGCUAAGAAUGUCAUUUUGAUCAAAAUCCGAGCUCCGAAUCCCGAAGCUCAUGAAGAGAAAAACGUUGUACGUUGCGUUGCCUUCAAUUUGAGAUAAAUAUUGGUCUUGGGGGAUGAAAUUUUCGUGGUGGAUCUUCUGAUAAGGUAUUUAUAAAAUUCCUUUUAUGUUAUUAAAGUGUUUAUUUAGAGUUUUAACGAAUUAGAACGGAGAAAACAGCAUUAUAAACUCGUUUGUUGUUUUGUUGAAAUUUAUGGGUGAGGGGCUGUUUUAAUUGAAAUUGAUGGACUGAUUUGAAUUAAUAUUUUGGUUGUUUUAAUCAUGGAUUAUGUGAGGAGAGUGAAGGAACUUAAUGGUUAUUAAGUUGUUGUAGGAAAACAUACAACUUUGUUAUGGUUUAUGUAAAAAUGGAAAUGAAAGUAUCAAGAGGGAAAUUAUGAUUAUUGUGGAUGAAUUUGGAAGAUGGAAAUGUAUAAUGAACUUGUAUGUUGAAGGUUAGGAAAAAUUGGAAAAGUAGUGGCUUAAUGGAAAGUUUGAAUGUUCGCAUACCUUAUGAAUAUUGGGUGAAAAUGGUAUGGAUGCUUCCGAUGUAUGUUGUAAUGAAUUUGGUGGGUGAUGAAUAUCAAAAUAACAAGUUUGGUUUGGAAAUGUAAGUUUGAAACGAAAGAUGUGUCGUUAUGCCGAAACGAUGGCUAGUGAUGCCUUAGUGUGUGUUUUAAUGUCUGUUGUUGUUUUUGCUGUUGUUCUGGGUUGUUGUGUAGUGAAUUGAGCCGAGCUAAGUCUCGGGGAUGUCUUAUAUACAGAGGAAAUGCUGCCGAAAUUUCGGUAGGCAAACUUGUGUAAAGUUGGAUUAUUGAAAAGUUUGAAACUAACAAAUGGUAACUUGACCAUUUCUAGAUUUUGGACGAAAUUGGGAUUGACGCCAAGCGAGCGUAAGGCGCUAUCGAGGUAUGUGAAGCAUUUCCCUUUGUUCCUAGGCAUGUUCUGGAUGUGAUAGGCUCGGCCGCGAGCCUUAAGUACGACUCCGUUCCCCGGAAUUCGAGACGGAAAACCGCUCCAAUUCCUUCCAUUCAAUUGAAGCUAUUUUCUUACAAAUUGCCUUUAAAGUGAGUUUUUGUACAAAACUUCCCUAAACGGAGUCGGAACACUUCCAAACGAUUACGAACGACCUCAUAAGGUCUAUUGUCGGUAAAUUACAUAUGUUUCCUCGAGUUGGUCCGAGGCGGGCCCGCAAUGUAACACCCCGCAUUUUAGGACUGAGUUUAAGCUCAUAUCAUUAGAGUUCUAGUGGAAACAUGGAAGGUUUGAACGUUUUGCGAAAAUGGUUGAUAGGCUUAUUUCGGGCAGCGAUAACUCCUUGAUCGGUUUGGAAUUUUGGAAGGUACUAUCAAUAAAGUUGUAGUAUGUAGAAAUACCUUUCUAACGAUAUAAGGAUCAAGCCAAUCAGAGAUCGGAGCAAGGAGAUAUGAUCGUCUCAAUAUGGCUAAUAGUAAGGCACUUGAAAUCCUAUAGAAUCGGCUAAGUUUUUGAUACGUCUGACUUCCAGUCAAAUUUCAUGAAAAUCCGUUGGGAAUUUGAGAAAACGUCCUUGACGAAAGUUGUAGCCCUUUGAAAUAGCUUUCCAACGGUAUCUUACGGGGGUCAAACGGACAUCUGUGCAAAGAGUUAUGCCCAUUUUACUGAAGCCUGUUCGCUGGAAAUUCUGCCAGCGUAACGGCGACGUUACGGGCCGUAUUUCGUGUUACGGUCCGUAACAGUGGACCGUAACGUCCCGAAAAUUUCCAGAAACUCACUGGAAAUUUUCACCAAGAUACGGUACCAAGUUACGGUCCGUAUCUCGUGUUACGGGACCGUAACAGUGACCGUAUCUUGGUCCGUAUAUACGUUUCGGGUCACCUGACUUCGGGAGGCCAUAACCCUAUCAUAACUUGGGAAUUUGGGAAAACUCAAAGAACGAAAGUUGUAGAUAAUUGAAAAACCUGUCCAACCAUAGGUUGUGGGUUCACAGGAGACUUCGGGAUAAGGAGAUAUGGACGUUUUAAGACAGAUAGGUCCCAACCCGUUUUCAAGUUGGGUCAACCCAUUUUCCCCUUGGUAUAUAAAGAAAAUAUUACCCUAACAGCCCAUUUUUCCUCCAAAACUCAGAUUUUAGAGAGAGGAAGUGAGAGAGAAGGGAAAUUAGAGAGAGAAAGUAGAAAAUCAACCAAGUUUAAGGCCCCGAAUCCCAAAGCUCGUGAAGGAAAAAGUGUAGUACAAGUCGUUGUCGUCAUUUUAAGCCCAAGAUCGGACUUGGGGGUGUUGAUUUCGUGGUGACUACCCAAAAGGUAAUAUUUCUACUCCCCAAUCAUUUAUAGUUAUGAAUUGAUGAAUUCUUGGGAGUAUAAUAAUUGGGUUUGUUGAAGAUGAUUAUAUGAACUAUGUUAGAAUUGUUGGAUUGAUGACUUGGGAUUGUUGUAUUCAUAUGGAUUAUGAAGAAUGAUGUUAAUUGCAUCUAAUUGAGACUGUAGAAAUUGUUAGAAGUAAAAGAAUGGGGAUUUGGUGAAGAAAACACCAUUAAUGGGGGUUAUAGAGCUUCAUGCCCACUAAGUGUUUGAUAAAAUGCUUAGAUGAACAAAACAUGGAUAUUGUUGCUAAUAUAGAAUCACUAUGACUUGUAUGCUAUAGAUUGAAGUUGAAGGGGGUGAAGGACAUUGUGAUACGCCCAAAAGCGGAAGGUUAAGGUAUGUAGAACUUCCAUCCACAUGUGGGAACUUCUAUGUUCUUCCCCAUGAUCCGUUUAGUAAAUUCUAUGAAGUUCAACUCCUAGGGCAUUAAACCCAAUGUAUUGGUAGCCCGUAAUUAUGUAUGUAUGUAUGUACAUGAAUUCCGUAUAUAUGUUCGUUAUUGUGUUCCUAAACCUCCAUUUCGGACAUUAGGAAUCCUAGCUUAAUCCAUGAAUCAUGAAUUCUUCCUCAUGUGUUCUCAUGAUGUUUAUAUGAAAUUGUAAAAUGUUAUUUUACAAAUUACAAGCAUGUUUUCAAGUCAGCUACAAACGUAUGAUGCAUUAUGGUAUUUCUCAUGAUCAAGUUUACAAGUUAUUUCAUGAAAAUAUGUUUACAAGUCCUUUCGUGAAAUCAUGAUUUCAAGACAAGUACAAGUUAAUUCACGAAAGUCAUGGGCUUCUUAGCCAACUAUAUUAUUUUCAUGUUCGGGAGUUGUAAUAAUACCGAGAAGGCUCAGAUAGCCUGAAACUACGUAUGCCAACGUAGGAUAAGAAUCGCUCCGCCCAGUAGGACGAUUCCUUUAUAUGUUCCCCAUUGAGGGAUUUGGAUCCAUUCAUGUUAUGUUCAUGUCUCGUGCCCCGGCAAGGUACGAGUUGGCUUAGCUGAUCGGGCAGAGAUCAGACUCCACGCUCCUCCCCGUGGUGGUUUAUGUCGGUAUUACAGAUUAUUACAGAUUAUUACAGAUUAUUACAGAUUACUACAGACUAUCUCAUGCUUCCAGUACUCAGUUUCAGUUUUAAAUUUCAUGAUUUUGUACUCAUGCUCAUGCUCAUGUUCAUGUCCAAGUUUUCAGUUUCAGUUCUUACUAUGUUAUUCCAUGUUCCAUGUUGUUUCUUUCGAUUGCUUUACAUACCAGUACAUUCAAUGUGCUGACGUCCCCUUUUUAUUGC